AGUGCAUCACAGAGUUGGAAAAAACACACACAAAAAAACUGACACUGCAUAUUUACAUUUGCCCCAAGAGAACUGGUACUUCCAGAUUUUGUGACAAAAUCUAAUACUUUGAAGGAAAUUUGAUCUUUUUGACAGUUCUACUGAGUUAUCAUCUCAAAAAGCAGAAAGAAUUUUACCACUUUCAAGAAGAAGAGACAAGCAAUUAUUAGGAGCAGUUCGGAUGCACAGCUAAGGAACCAAACAGCUUAUAGAUUGCCAGGCAGCGUCCUCUCUGGCUCAGAGCAGCAGCUCUCAUUGCUUUUGUACUUCUCCUGCGGAUCAUUCAUAAAGACCUACCAACAUGGCCUUCUGCUGAUAUUUAUCAGUUGGUUAUAGGUCCUGCCAGCUAUUUGGUAGUUCCAGAUGUUUGAGGAUCCAGAGCAGCUGGAAUUCUAUAUGAAUGCUCCUUAAAUUCAAGUAGAACUUAAUAGAAGACUGCUGUACAAUUUUAUUAGAUAAAUAAGAGCCUUCCAAUAAAAAAUAAAAAGAAAAAUGAAAUAUAUAUAUAUAGAAGCCAUGAAUUAAUUGUCUGUGACUUGUUCAAAC
This 585-nucleotide long non-coding RNA is filed under the name Mustela putorius furo (domestic ferret). RNAcentral describes it as "lncRNA (ENSMPUG00000026421.1)". Lineage: Eukaryota; Metazoa; Chordata; Mammalia; Carnivora; Mustelidae. The record is from RNAcentral.